Long non-coding RNA from Coregonus clupeaformis (lake whitefish), 507 nucleotides. RefSeq lists it as uncharacterized. The record is from RefSeq and is a predicted model, not a curated record. The transcript has 3 exons. Lineage: Eukaryota; Metazoa; Chordata; Actinopteri; Salmoniformes; Salmonidae.
CUCAGAAUCAACGGGGUGCUCCCGUCGGAUCAAGGAUCUUCGCGGUGCGGCCACGCCAUGAGGAACAAAUGACCUAAUUCAGCAAACUCCUAUCGACUAAGCACCUAUUGACUUUUCCUAUCCUACUCAGACAGAACCAAUCAUCCCAGAGUUGAUCCUGUGGAAUGCACUGUUUGUGUUCGAGACUAACUGACUGAGUUCGUAAUCCAUCCCAGCUGGGAUCAGAGGAAGAAUUCACUGCUUGGAAGAACUCUCAUUGACUUUGCUUUCCUGGACUGAGCGAGAGAGAGACUUGGACAAGACGCCCCUUUUCCCGGCUCCAUCCCGGCUUCAUCUAUCCUAACGGAAUCCAACUGGGCAGGCAACAUCGACAUACAAAAAAUGGACACAAUUCAAUGGAUAUCAAUCAACAAAGAGAUGAGGAGGCAUACAAAUCUAUUCUUAUUGGUAUGUUAUGCAGAUCCCAUUUACCAUCCUCCUCCCUUACCUCUUCAAUGAAAAUCCCAU